RNAcentral lists this ribosomal RNA (253 nucleotides) under uncultured bacterium. Its description in RNAcentral is "partial 16S ribosomal RNA". It matches the Rfam family "Bacterial small subunit ribosomal RNA", at positions 524 to 776 of the family's 1533-position model. The record is from RNAcentral.
GACGAACCGUGCGAACGUUGUUCGGAAUCACUGGGCUUAAAGGGCGCGUAGGCGGGCUACCAAGUCCGGGGUGAAAUCCUCCAGCUUAACUGGAGAACUGCCUCGGAUACUGGUGGUCUCGAGGGAGACAGGGGCAUGCGGAACCGUGGGUGGAGCGGUGAAAUGCGUUGAUAUCCAUGGGAACUCCGGUGGCGAAGGCGGCAUGCUGGAUCUCUUCUGACGCUGAGGCGCGAAAGCCAGGGGAUCAAACGGG